Molecule: transfer RNA, 71 nt
Filed under: Spirochaetes bacterium GWB1_36_13
Lineage: Bacteria; Pseudomonadati; Spirochaetota
Also listed under: 1 other name
Description: tRNA-Gly
Rfam family: tRNA
About the family: Transfer RNA (tRNA) molecules are approximately 80 nucleotides in length.
Source: RNAcentral
GCGGGUGUAGUUCAAUGGUAGAACUCCAGCCUUCCAAGCUGUGAAUGUCAGUUCGAUUCUGAUCACCCGCU